GACGUAGGAUGCAAGCAUUGUCCGGAUUUAUUGGGCGUAAAGAGUUCGUAGGCGGUUUGUUAAGUCUAAUGUUAAAGAUCAGGGCUCAACCCUGGGACUGCAUCGGAUACUGGCAGACUGGAGUGUGGUAGAGGUAAGUGGAAUUUCUGGUGUAGCGGUGAAAUGCGUAGAUAUCAGAAGGAACACCAAUGGCGAAGGCAGCUUACUGGACAACAACUGACGCUGAGGCACGAAAGCGUGGGUAGCGAAAGGG
This 253-nucleotide ribosomal RNA is filed under the name uncultured bacterium. Its description in RNAcentral is "partial 16S ribosomal RNA". It matches the Rfam family "Bacterial small subunit ribosomal RNA", at positions 524 to 776 of the family's 1533-position model. The record is from RNAcentral.